RNAcentral lists this ribosomal RNA (522 nucleotides) under Bifidobacterium longum subsp. infantis. Its description in RNAcentral is "bacterial SSU rRNA". It matches the Rfam family "Bacterial small subunit ribosomal RNA", at positions 160 to 697 of the family's 1533-position model. RNAcentral also lists the same sequence under 2 other names. The record is from RNAcentral. Lineage: Bacteria; Bacillati; Actinomycetota; Actinomycetes; Bifidobacteriales; Bifidobacteriaceae.
GUGGUAAUGCCGGAUGCUCCAGUUGAUCGCAUGGUCUUCUGGGAAAGCUUUCGCGGUAUGGGAUGGGGUCGCGUCCUAUCAGCUUGACGGCGGGGUAACGGCCCACCGUGGCUUCGACGGGUAGCCGGCCUGAGAGGGCGACCGGCCACAUUGGGACUGAGAUACGGCCCAGACUCCUACGGGAGGCAGCAGUGGGGAAUAUUGCACAAUGGGCGCAAGCCUGAUGCAGCGACGCCGCGUGAGGGAUGGAGGCCUUCGGGUUGUAAACCUCUUUUAUCGGGGAGCAAGCGAGAGUGAGUUUACCCGUUGAAUAAGCACCGGCUAACUACGUGCCAGCAGCCGCGGUAAUACGUAGGGUGCAAGCGUUAUCCGGAAUUAUUGGGCGUAAAGGGCUCGUAGGCGGUUCGUCGCGUCCGGUGUGAAAGUCCAUCGCUUAACGGUGGAUCCGCGCCGGGUACGGGCGGGCUUGAGUGCGGUAGGGGAGACUGGAAUUCCCGGUGUAACGGUGGAAUGUGUAGAUAU